CCCUUAGAUGUUCUGGGCUGCACGCGCGCUACACUGACACACUCAGCGAGUUCCUGUACCGAGAGGUUCGGGUAAUCAUGUGAGCGUGUGUCGUGAUGGGGAUAGAAUAUUGUAAUUAUUGCUCUUCAACGAGGAAUUCCUAGUAAGCGCAAGUCAGCAGCUUGCGCUGAUUACGUCCCUGCCCUUUGUACACACCGCCCGUCGCUCCUACCGAUUGGGUGAUCCGGUGAAUGACUCGGACUUUGACGUUCCUAGACACUAGGUUCGUCGAGGGAAGUUUUGUGAACCUUAUCACUUGGAGGAAGGAGAAGUCGUAACA
RNAcentral lists this ribosomal RNA (319 nucleotides) under uncultured eukaryote. RNAcentral describes it as "partial 18S ribosomal RNA". It matches the Rfam family "Eukaryotic small subunit ribosomal RNA", at positions 1470 to 1796 of the family's 1831-position model. The record is from RNAcentral.